RNAcentral lists this ribosomal RNA (295 nucleotides) under uncultured Lactobacillus sp. RNAcentral describes it as "partial 16S ribosomal RNA". It matches the Rfam family "Bacterial small subunit ribosomal RNA", at positions 244 to 524 of the family's 1533-position model. The record is from RNAcentral. Lineage: Bacteria; Bacillati; Bacillota; Bacilli; Lactobacillales; Lactobacillaceae.
GCUAGUUGGUAAGGUAACGGGCUUACCAAGGCAAUGAUGCAUAGCCCGAGUAGAGAGACUGAUCGGGCCACAUUGGGGACUGAGACACGGGCCCAAAAACUCCUACGGGGAGGCAGCAGUAGGGAAUCUUCCACAAUGGACGCAAGUCUGAUGGAGCAACGCCGCGUGAGUGAAGAAGGGUUUCGGCUCGUAAAGCUCUGUUGGUAGUGAAGAAAGAUAGAGGUAGUAACUGGCCUUUAUUUGACGGUAAUUACUUAGAAGUCACGGCUAACUACGUGCCAGCAGCCGCGGUAAU